CCUGGCUCAGGACGAACGCUGGCGGCGUGCCUAAUACAUGCAAGUCGAGCGGACAGAUGGGAGCUUGCUCCCUGAUGUUAGCGGCGGACGGGUGAGUAACACGUGGGUAACCUGCCUGUAAGACUGGGAUAACUCCGGGAAACCGGGGCUAAUACCGGAUGGUUGUUUGAACCGCAUGGUUCAAACAUAAAAGGUGGCUUCGGCUACCACUUACAGAUGGACCCGCGGCGCAUUAGCUAGUUGGUGAGGUAACGGCUCACCAAGGCGACGAUGCGUAGCCGACCUGAGAGGGUGAUCGGCCACACUGGGACUGAGACACGGCCCAGACUUCCUACGGGAGGCAGCAGUAGGGAAUCUUCCGCAAUGGACGAAAGUCUGACGGAGCAACGCCGCGU
Molecule: ribosomal RNA, 395 nt
Filed under: Bacillus subtilis
Lineage: Bacteria; Bacillati; Bacillota; Bacilli; Caryophanales; Bacillaceae
Description: bacterial SSU rRNA
Rfam family: Bacterial small subunit ribosomal RNA
Source: RNAcentral